RNAcentral lists this ribosomal RNA (121 nucleotides) under uncultured bacterium. RNAcentral describes it as "partial 16S ribosomal RNA". It matches the Rfam family "Bacterial small subunit ribosomal RNA", at positions 1365 to 1482 of the family's 1533-position model. The record is from RNAcentral.
AAUACGUUCCCGGGCCUUGUACACACCGCCCGUCACACCGUGGAAGUCGGUUGUACCGGAAGCUAGUGAGCCAACCCGGUAAGGGAAGCAGCUACCCAGGGUACGACCGGUAACCGGGGUG